This 463-nucleotide ribosomal RNA is filed under the name uncultured bacterium. RNAcentral's name for it is "partial 16S ribosomal RNA". It matches the Rfam family "Bacterial small subunit ribosomal RNA", at positions 339 to 795 of the family's 1533-position model. The record is from RNAcentral.
CUACGGGCGGCUGCAGUAGGGAAUUUUCGGCAAUGGGCGCAAGCCUGACCGAGCAACGCCGCGUGAGUGAUUAAGGCCUUCGGGUUGUAAAGCUCUGUUGUAAGGGAAGAACAUUCAGGAUAGGAAAUGAUCUUGAACUGACGGUACCUUACCAGAAAGCCACGGCUAACUACGUGCCAGCAGCCGCGGUAAUACGUAGGUGGCAAGCGUUAUCCGGAAUUAUUGGGCGUAAAGGGUGCGUAGGCGGUUUAUUAAGUCUAUGGUGAAAGUGCGGGGCUCAACCCCGUAUGGCCAUAGAAACUGGUAGACUUGAGUGCAGGAGAGGGCAAUGGAAUUCCAUGUGUAGCGGUAAAAUGCGUAGAUAUAUUGAGGAACACCAGUGGCGAAGGCGGCUAACUGGACCGGAACUGACGCUGAGGCACGAAAGCGUGGGGAGCAAACAGGAUUAGAUACCCGCGUAGUC